This 653-nucleotide long non-coding RNA is filed under the name Ananas comosus (pineapple). Its description in RNAcentral is "long non-coding RNA (ACOM_LNC030263)". Lineage: Eukaryota; Viridiplantae; Streptophyta; Magnoliopsida; Poales; Bromeliaceae. The record is from RNAcentral.
AAUUUAGCUUGAUUAUGUUGGAAUCCGGUACUCGCCCCGGUACCAGAUUUUGAGAAUCCGCAACCCGCUCCGAUACCGCUGUGGAUCCGGUAUCGAUUGUUGGGAUUCCGCAACGGAAGUGUCGACUCGAGUUUUUACCAUAAACCCGUAUCUUCAGCAAAAGCUGAUACAAUCACAAAAGAGAGAAAAAAUCAAAAUAAAAAAAUAUGCGGGUAAAAUAAGAUUCACACCUGAAUCUUCUUCUGCAACUGAGUAGCUACAACCCGAGCCCUCUUUUUGAAUCUUUUUUAUCCUUUUCUCGUCUUUUAUAAACCUAAAAGACAACUCUCUUUCUCUCUCACAUGCACCUGUGCACUAGGUGCAUACAACCGGCCAACUCUCUCUCUCUCUCUCUCUCAUACAACCCACCAAAGAGCUUAAGCUUUUUUGCCGUACUCGCACUCCAAAAGCACCCCACAUAGUGCUUAUAUAAUGCUUAUAAUAAGAGCAUGUUUGGUUGCUCGACAGUCGGCGAAGUGGCAAAAGUUACUUUUAUAAAAGUGACUUUUACAAAAGUGACUUUUCAGUUCAAUUGUUUAGUUGCUAUAAAGUAAAAAAAUUAAAACAAUAAUUUUAUAAUUUUUUUAUUAUUAAAUAUAUAAAGAGGUGAAAAU